RNAcentral lists this long non-coding RNA (418 nucleotides) under Penaeus japonicus. RNAcentral describes it as "uncharacterized LOC122268146". Lineage: Eukaryota; Metazoa; Arthropoda; Malacostraca; Decapoda; Penaeidae. The record is from RNAcentral.
UCUCCCUCCCCCCCUCUCUCUCUCUCUCUCUCUCUCUCUCUCAAACUCCAAUCAUGGAAGAAGUUGAAAAUUAUACCUACGUGGUGGUGGGAGGAGGCAUUGCCGGAGUCACUUGUGCUGAACACAUCAGAGAGCCCUAUCCAGCCCGAGCGAGGGGAGUACGGGGUCAAAUGUCACGGGCAAUGGGUCACCUGAGGUCACCGGAGGCGCCUCGGAUGACCCCCGGGGAUGCCCUGUGGGGAAUGGGCUGGAGGAACGCAUCGUGCAGAUAUCCACGCCCACGCACCCGGAGGAACUCCUGGCGUGUGUCAGGAAAUUGAGACAUAAGGUGUCUACGGCGGACGUGAGGAUCGUUGUGAAUACCGAGGUGUUCCACGCCCACCGCUUCCUCGUGACGCACUUCAGCAAGUUCUUCGCC